This 2130-nucleotide long non-coding RNA is filed under the name Brassica napus (rape). Its description in RNAcentral is "long non-coding RNA (BNAP_LNC014811)". The record is from RNAcentral. Lineage: Eukaryota; Viridiplantae; Streptophyta; Magnoliopsida; Brassicales; Brassicaceae.
AAUAUAGAGAAAAUGUCAAAACUGACAUUAUGUCUAUAAAAAAGAGAUCACGACAAAACCGGUGAUAAUAGGUCAUAAGCUAAAUGAAAUAAAAGAUAAUUAGGGGAAAAGCAAUGGAUCUCUCUCUUUCUUCCCUCUAUUAUUUUUCAGAGAGAGAGAAUUGCGUUAUUUCCCAUGCUUGAUCAAUCUGGUGAGGUUUUCAUCCAGUAUAUCAGGUUUGUCUUCGGCAAUGUCUUGUCUGGUUUUGUUUUUUUUUUUGUUUUUAGUUUCUCUGAAUCAACUUCGCUUCUCUUUUAGAAAUGUUUCAAUCGGAUCAAAAUCUUAGAUCGAUUUGUUUCAUCCUGCCCUCUCUGUUAGGGUUCAAUCAUCUUCAAGCUUUUGAUUUGCAUGCAAGGAUUUGAGACUUUCGUUUGCUUUUAUUUAUUUGAUUCGAUUGGUUCUGGGUUUGAUGUUCUGAAGCGUUGUUUUUGAUUUCGUCUGUGCUGAAUCAAGCUAUUGUCAAAGCCAGACUCUCUCUGUCGCGUUUUCCUAUCUCCGGUAUGUUUUCGGUGGAAUACCGAUUAGACCGUCCGGGAACGGCUAACUUUUGGGUAAAUCAAGCAAAUUUAGCAAAACGUUAGUGUGUUGUUUUCCCUGAUGUGGGGUUUAGGUUAGCAAACAAAAAUCUAAGGUAACCAGCUAUAAAAAGUAAUAAACGCUAAAAAUAUUGUUAAAUAGAUAUUCUAGAAUUUUUAGCAUGUAUAUCGGAAGAUUAUUGCAUAUGCUAAAAAAGUUAUUGACAAACUAAAAGAAACUUUGCACUGUGAAUUAGCCCAAAAUCAUAUAAGAAGUAGCAAAUUAGGCAAAUACCUAUGACACAAAAGUUGUGGGGAUCCAACAUAGAGAAAAUGUUAAAACUGACCUUAUGUCUAUAAAAACGAGAUCACGACAAAACCGGUGAUAAUAGGUCAUAAGCUAAAUGAAAUAAAAGGUAAUUAGGGGGAAAACAAUGAAUCUAUCUCUCUUUCUUCCCUCUAUUAUUUCUCAGAGAGAGGGAAUUGCGUUAUUUCUCAUGCUUGAUCAAUCUGGUGAGGUUUUCACCCAGUAUAUCAGGUUUAUCUUCGGCAAUGUCUUGUCUGGUUUUGUUUUUUUUUUGUUUUUUGUUUUUUUUUUAGUUUCUCUGAAUCAACCUCGCUUCUCUUUUAGAAAGGUUUCAAUCGGAGCAAAAUCUUAGAUCGAUUUGUUUCAUCAUGCCCUCUUUGUUAGGGUUCAAUCAUCUUCAAGCUUUUGAUUUGCAUGCAAGGAUUUGAGACUUUCGUUUGCUUUUAUUUGUUUGAUUCGAUUGGUUCUGGGUUUGAUGUUUUGAAGCGUUAUUUUUGAUUUCGUCUGUGCUGAAUCAAGCUAUUGUCGAAGCCAGAUUCUCUCUGUCGCAUUUUCUUGUCUCCGGUAUGUUUUCGGUGGAAUACCGAUUAGACCGGCCGGCAACGGCUUACCUUUGGGUAAACCAAGCAAAUUUAGCAAAAAGUUAGCGUGUUGUUUUCCCUGAUGUGGGGUUUAGGUUAGCGGGUUUAGGUUAGCAAACAAAAAUUUAAGGUAACCAGCUUUAAAAAGUAAUAAACGCUAAAAAGAUUGUUAAAUAGAUAUUCUAGAAUUUUUGGCAUGUAUAUCGGAAUAUUAUUGCAUAUGCUAAAAAAGUUAUUGACAAACUAAAAGAAACUUUGCACUGGUCCUGUGUUAAAAUAUUAAAUAAGUUAGCAAAUAUUGAUGUCGAAGAUUUGUUAGAUAUGUUAGCGCGUUAAAUAAAGUAUUGUAAGCUAUAUAGUUUAGUGACCAUGUAACACUUUUUUAUGCAGGUUUAGCGUCAACUCUCAACUGCUAACGGGGUUUGUCUAUAAAAGGAAGCCAACAAGCAAACUCUCACCAUAAAAAGUUGUCUAGUUAACAAAACCAAUACCACUCCUCCGUUUCUAUGUAUUGAUUGUAGACUUUGUAGUUACAGAAUCUUGUUUCGUAAUAUUUUAUUAAUACAAGUCAGUAACUAAAAUAUUAGUUUGCUCCAUUGUCAUUGUGGCCAAUUAUUUAAGUUAACGUCUUUGAAUUGUUUGUAGCCGGCUAAGAAUAAUACUGGAUGAGUAUAUUUAAAGUUGGCUA